AUCUGCGGUGCUGGUCGCUAGCGGCUGUACGAGGGCGCUACAGCGGCAAUCACCAGCACUGAUGAUACGCACGCGAAACGUGUAUGGGUGGCGAUGGCUCGAGGUUUGAUGGAUAGGGAACUCUCGGGAUAUGUCGCCGCUGGGAUUUAUAGCCAUGGCGAGGGGCAAUCGGGUCUGAGAGCAGAGAGGGGCGAGAAAUUAGAGCUGGACUCCAUGGCGUUGCGCGGUCGAGUUUGGCGUCCACAGACGGAGUUGAUGGUGGCGGUGGGUUUAUAUGCUCCAGGAAGGCAGAGUCCGCGGAGGUUGCAAAUCCCGACCAUAGCGCGAUUUGGGAGAGAAUCUGUUGCGGACAACAGAGGCGAGAGGAAAACCCGGCGGAAGGUGAGGCCUCCAUGGAUUUGGUCGCAACAGCUCGAUCCGGCCGUAUCCAGUCGUCCUCCGAGCACCCCUGGCCUCCCAAUCUUUUCCCAAACACCACACUAAGCUUGUCAAUGGCGCGGGCUGGGAUUAGUUUCGGGUGGCCUGGGUGAUUCUCUCAGCCACCACGACGCUCCCCGCCGAUGACAUCGCAAUCUCACUCUCUGUCGUCUCCUAACCUGCUGGGAUGCAUUCGGUGCAUGGCCUAACUUAUAGUUAAAGCGGAGUUCCCGGACGGACGUGCGUGCACGUCGAUUUUCCAGCGCUAACUCCGGAGAAGGCGGCGAAUUUGGUUACGCAGCCGCGGACCCAGUCGAUACGCAGAUGCUGUUGCGCGCGAGCUUAGCGAUGGAGACAAAGCUAGCUCAAGGGGCCCACGUGCCAGCCAAUGUGGUGAGUGAUCCUGAGCUGCGGCCCACCUGCCAGCAACUCAAUACAGGACGCGAGUGCGGCAAGCGCACUGAAGCGUGGCCCCAACUGUUAUUGGAUUCUAGGCGAGCCACUGUCGUCCUUACGACUGGGUGAGAUCAAAUACGUAUGUGUGCAUGAGAUUUGCUUGAUGACAUAGUAUGUGGAGUUCAGCUGAUGUCACUUGCGGCUAGAGAAUAAACGAAAGAGAAGAAAACUAUGGGUCGUGCGUUUGCUUUUUUUUAAAGUAAGGUAGGCAUAAUUUAUACUUAUUUGCAUUUUUCCUUCUUUUCUUAAAUCUCCAAAUUGUAUGUCAUGUAUAAAUUCCAUUUUUUGUCACUAAUGAUUUUCUAUUAACAUUAUUAUUAUUUUCAAAUGCACAAACAAGUAAACUUUGGCAUGAUGCAUAAUUUAUUCAUGUGUCAUUUGUUUAUUAUUCACUUUUAGGUGUGAGUGUUCACAUAUGCUAAUUAUAGUAUGAGUCGCACAAAUAUGGAGACCAACUCUAUUCUUAACAUUUACAAUUUGGGUAUUACCAUAUUACUUUUUACAUUAUUUUUAUAUUGUCACAAAAUGCACACAAAAUGAAACCUCGGCAUCAUGCACAAUUUAGUGGUAUGUCCUUUAUUAACUAUUUUUUUUAAUAAGAUGUUCACAUGUGAUGCUAAAUAGAGGUAACACAUAUAUAUAAAGGAAAUAAUUUCUCCUUUUAAUACUUUAUUAUAAAUUGGGUAUUACAAAUCCUACCCCCUUAACAGAAAUCUCGUCCCCGAGAUUUGUAAGAAAAGGGAAACAUAAGGAUUGGUUUGUAAAUAGGUUCAAAAUCGAGAGUCUCAUAUUUUUUAGAGACAAUAGUGAGUGAUUAGAAGAGCAUAGGUAUCUAGCUACUUAUUAUGUAGGAUAAAAGAUGGGUAGGUUAAGGUAAGAAAUAUUAUGGCAAGGAAAUACCCCAUCUUGGGUGGUGACGCAUCUAAAGAUCUAGUUUGACUUUUAUCCUUCCUUGGCGAGGUUGAUCUUCUCUUCUCUGGUCUUGGUCUCAUUGAUUCGAGGUUAGUGUAUAUCAUCGGGGUUGAGGAAUAUGGUUAAGAUAGAUAUGGAUGAGAUAGACUACAUGAUGUAGGUCAAAAUCUUGUUUGAUGUUAGGUGGGGAUAGACAAAUUGGAUAUAACUAGAUUAGACUAGUUAAGAUCUACUUAUUUUAGAAUAGAUCAUAGUUGUUACACUUAGUACGAGAUAAGCAAAGUAGACAGGAUAGAAUCUUUUAAGAUGAGAUGAAUCUAUUAAGAUAAGAGAAAAUCUUUUAAGAUAAGAUAUAUUUUAAUUAGGAUAAGUUAGGAUCUUUUCACAUAAGAUGGAUCUAUGAGUGUAGGAUAAAAUCUUUUAAGAUGAGAUGGAUAUUGUUAGGCUAGAUACUUUAAUGAGGGAUAACCUAGUUUAUCUAGUUAUUUUUAUAAGCAUUUUUUUCUACAUGUAUGUGCAGAUGUAAUUGUGGACAUUACUCCACAACUCAUCACACUCAAUCAAAUAUCCAAAUCAGACAAGUAUCAUAAGAACAAAAUAUUCAAAUUCAUAGAUAUCUAUAAAAAUAGUUUUAUUUUUGUUCCUAAGAGUAGGUCCCCUAUUCCAAAAAGUCACUUUAACCACAGGAUUUCAAAGUGUGAAAUCCAAGUUUGUCUUUAGCAGGAAAAGGUAAGAAUAAUCAGAGUAAAGCGGAAAUAGAUGAGAAAAGAUUAAGAUAAGUUUAGAAAAGAAUCAGAGUAAGGUAAGUAGAUAAUGGUUGUCCAGUUCUAUCUAGGUUUCGUCCUACAGUCAACAUCCCUCUGAUACCACUUCUGUCACACCCGGGUUUUAGGGGUCCAAAGCCCGGGCGCGAACAUAAUCACCAGGUGUGCUGGGACCAAGUCUCACACAUAUGAUGAAUCAUGGCACAGGAUCGAAUGUCACAACUUUACUAUAUAAUAGGAGUUCUAUACAAAAUAAAUAAUUACAUAUAAGGAGACAAUGGUCCAGCAACCCAAAGUUGACUGGGAGACGACGACCUAGAUCUCUCACGAACUCAUCGCAGCAUCCUCCAAGCGCCUCAUCCUGCGGUACCUGCUCUUGACCUGUGGGGGGGGGUGUGAGACAGCAAGAGUGAGCUCACAUACGUUCAUCGCUCAACAAGUUGUGGGGAAUAAUGUGCAUGAACUCGCCAAAGGUGGGAGCUCACGUGAAGUGUAAGGCUUACCAAAGAGGAUGGUUAGAGCUGAGCAUUGCUUUUAAAGUUGGUCAAAAUUUUAUUAGCAAUUACUAAGUAUAAGUAAAUACCAACCCAAUUAAGUAGUAGAACAAAAGUAACAACCUCACCUGCGAUGCAAUGCAUAUGACAAAUUGAGUUUAAGUUCCAUAAUUUAAUCAUCAGAGAGUCCUGAGCUGCUCAUGACCGUGAGCUCGGCUAGUAUACCAGUUUUACACUCUGCAGAGGUGGUACCCUUUACCCACAAGUCAUGUUACCCAUCUGCCAAGGGAUCGCGACUUCCCAUACACCUCUACCGAGGAGGCGAGGCAGGGUAACACUACGAGGCCUUUACAAAGUUCCACUAGCUUCAGAAAACCCGCUACAGUUUAUAGGAAGCUCCAAUGCAGGAAUCCCUUGCAGGACCGCCAUCGCAGCAAAAUCCUCCCGAGGGCCUCCCUACACUGACCACUCCCCUACUGCCCUUGCCCCUUUCGGGUAAGGUAGUCCUCCACUAGCUUUCCUAAUUAAUCAGCCAAGGGCGUCCAUAAACCCUUGUGGUGGCACGUGUUUCUCAAGUUAAGCUCUAUGUUCCAAUUAACAUUUAAUGAUCUUGUCAUGAACAUAAAUGAAAUAACAACAUAAUUGGAACAUAGAUAUAAUGAAAUAUUAACCCAAAACCAUAUAAAGCAGUAGCAGAACUACCCAAGUUAUUCAGGGGUAAACAAGGUAUUCAGGAUAAACAAACUAGGGUGACCUAUUGGGUCCCAUCAAAAUUAACCUAUGCAGAUCAUUAUGAUUAAUUAGAACAUGAGUGGGUAAAAGAAGUGAUCAAGGGCACAACUUGCCUGGCACUUGAGAUUCCAGAUACCAACUUGCUUUACAGAUGACACGUGUCCUCGCGCUAGUCGUAGCAAUACAAACAAACAUGGUAUAGAUAAAAUUAACAUCACACCAAACAUAAGAAUACACUGCGUAAAAAUAAUCUACGCGAAGCUACGAGACUAACGCAACUUGAACGGAUCAAAUCGGAGUUAAACGGAGGAGAUACGAAUUUCCUAAGGUUUUAUGUGCUUUAAAUAGGAUUAAGUGUGGGAUUAAAUUUCUUACUGUUUUCACGACAAAACAGAGGCUCUAAGUGAUAGAGAAUUAAAUUACAAAAAUUUAGAAAGUGGAAUGAAGUAAUUUGGAGCAAGUAUGAAUUUUCUAGGAAUUAACAAAGUUCUAGCAAUUAUUUUCCUAUUAAAAAUCCAUUUAUAAAUUAUUUUCUCUGGUUUUAUAAUGCUCUGGACUGGGCCUCAUUUAAACAGGAACACAGGGGGUCUUGCGUAAAAGUCUCUAAGACACAGAGAACAGUGGAAGUAGGACGGCGGGUUCAUUAUAAAAUACCCUAGGGUUUCUUUAGUAAAAUGUACCCGCGAAGGGGUAUCAGUGGUUUCUGGCCGUUGGAUCUCUAUCUGACGGUUGCGAUUAGAUUUUUUUUAUAAAACCUAACUCGGAAUCCAACGACAGCCGCUAGAUUAAGAUCUGAUGGUCGUGAGGCAUCCACGCCGUAACCCAAUCUCGACCGCAAAGCCUGCAACCGACGGCACAGAUUUAAUCGAGUGAAGGGGUAUGGGUCGAUCUAAUCUCAACCGCCCACAAGUUAUCUGACGGUGACGAGGCGUCUUCCCCACCCGACGCCAGAGCGCGGCGGCGCCGCCCAGUCUGCACGGCGGAAUCCCGCCGGGGCACGACGCACCGGUGCCCCCGUUGCCUGGUUUCCGCCCCAAUUUGCGUAAAUACGAUUGAAAGGACAUGGGGAAGUGAUUCAAUUGGUUAUUUACCUUCUGUUAUGCGAUCACGUGUCCAAUCUGCGGUGCUGGUCGCUAGCAGCUGUACGAGGGCGCUAGAGCGGCAAUCACCAGCACUGAUGAUACGCACGCGAAACGUGUAUGGGUGGCGAUGGCUCGAGGUUUGAUGGAUAGGGAACUCUCGGGGUAUGUCGCCGCUGGGAUUUAUAGCCAUGGCGAGGGGCAAUCGGGUCUGAGAGCAGAGAGGGGCGAGAAAUUAGAGCUGGACUCCAUGGCGUUGCGCGGUCGAGUUUGG
This 5128-nucleotide long non-coding RNA is filed under the name Zea mays. Its description in RNAcentral is "long non-coding RNA (ZMAY_LNC005350)". Lineage: Eukaryota; Viridiplantae; Streptophyta; Magnoliopsida; Poales; Poaceae. The record is from RNAcentral.